Molecule: ribosomal RNA, 468 nt
Filed under: uncultured bacterium
Lineage: Bacteria
Description: partial 16S ribosomal RNA
Rfam family: Bacterial small subunit ribosomal RNA
Source: RNAcentral
GACGAACGCUGGCGGCGUGCCUAACACAUGCAAGUCGAACGGACAGGCCCUGCUUUUGUGGGGUGCUCGAGUGGCGAACGGGUGAGUAACACGCGAGUAACAUGCCCUUGACUUUGUGAUAUCUUCAGGAAACUGGGGCUCAUAUCGGGUAGGAUCUAUUGCUCCAUGGUGGGGGUUGGAAAGAUUCGGCGGUUGGGGAUGGACUCGCGGGUUAUCAGCUGCUUGGGCGGGUAGUGGCUUACCAGGGCUUUGAAGGGUAGCCUGCCUGAGAGGUGUACCGGCGACAUUGGGACUGAGGGACGGACCAGACUCGUACCUGAGGCAGCAGUGGGGAACAUUGCGCAAUGGGGGGAAGUCUGAGGCAGCGGCCCCGCGUGCGUGAUGACGGCCUUUGGGUUGUAAACCGCUGUCGCCGGUGACGAAGCGUGAGUGACGGUAAUUAGUAAAGAAGCACCGGCUAACUACGUG